UUCCUUUUGCUCUAUCCCAUCUCUUGCUGCCUGAAAUGCCUGAACUGGGGGCCUUAGAACCCGAAGCCUGUGCCUUUGACUGUCUCUGAAUAUUGGCACUUGCUUCCAUUUUCCUGGCUGCAUCCACAAUAGAGUGGAAACUCUCCUUUUCUGCUGGAAGAAUCAAGGAAGAAUACCUGGGAUGCAAUCUCAUAGUAUAUCUCCUUGCCUUCUUCUGAUCAGUAUCAUAGGCUUGACCCACAUACUGAAGCAAAUCCAGGAACUUAUCUG
This 270-nucleotide long non-coding RNA is filed under the name Manihot esculenta (cassava). RNAcentral describes it as "long non-coding RNA (MESC_LNC011648)". Lineage: Eukaryota; Viridiplantae; Streptophyta; Magnoliopsida; Malpighiales; Euphorbiaceae. The record is from RNAcentral.